RNAcentral lists this ribosomal RNA (234 nucleotides) under uncultured bacterium. Its description in RNAcentral is "partial 16S ribosomal RNA". It matches the Rfam family "Bacterial small subunit ribosomal RNA", at positions 97 to 334 of the family's 1533-position model. The record is from RNAcentral.
GGCGGACGGGUGAGUAAUACUUAGGAAUCUGCCCAUUAGUGGGGGACAACUCGGGGAAACUCGAGCUAAUACCGCAUACGCCCUACGGGGGAAAGCGGGGGAUCUUCGGACCUCGCGCUAAUGGAUGAGCCUAAGUCGGAUUAGCUUGUUGGUGAGGUAAAGGCUCACCAAGGCGACGAUCCGUAGCUGGUCUGAGAGGACGAUCAGCCACACUGGGACUGAGACACGGCCCAG